This 257-nucleotide unclassified non-coding RNA is filed under the name Hevea brasiliensis (rubber tree). The record is from RNAcentral. Lineage: Eukaryota; Viridiplantae; Streptophyta; Magnoliopsida; Malpighiales; Euphorbiaceae.
AAAACAGUUCCAUCUGUGAGUUUUCCCCGAUAGUGUACUUUGAUUCUAUCUCCCUUAUGGGCCUGGAUUUCACAAGAUUCAGGCUUAUGCUUCACGCCGAUCUGUAACUCAGUCACAUCCCCUGACUUCUUCGCCGAAGCCAAGGCAAACAGCAACAGCAAGAGGAAAAUCGAGGCCGCCUUCGACGCGCAGCUCACAUUCAUUUUUGCAGAGAUCCUGUGUCCGUCGGCUAGAGAGAUGAUCGAAGAAGGUUAGCG